This 680-nucleotide long non-coding RNA is filed under the name Olea europaea subsp. europaea. Lineage: Eukaryota; Viridiplantae; Streptophyta; Magnoliopsida; Lamiales; Oleaceae. The record is from RNAcentral.
CGAUUUCUCUCAAAAUCAAGAUUCAAUCUCUAAAUCAAAAUAAAAAAAAAGGAACAAUCUCUUAAAUUGUGAACCCAUUUCUUCUCCUAACUGUUUUAAUCGAUUUCUCCCAAGCAAAAAAGGAACCGAAAUCACCUGUGCAUCCACUGUCCACGCUUGAGGAUUUUCUUCUACAUCAUUUGUUUAAUUGUCUUGACUGGGAUUUCUCCUAACUGUUUUGACUGGGAUUUUCUUCUACACCAUUUAUUUAAUUGUGUGUUGUUUUUUCCUUCUGUUUUCUUGACUGUUACGUGGAGGUAGUGAUAAUUAAAGGCACUACUUAAAUGGGAACCAUGCCUUAGAAAGAAUAAUAUUUUUAGUAGGAAGAUGCUUAGAAAGAUUCAGUAAAUUUACAUUACCUGGUUUUUGUUCUACUCCUGAAAUUCAGUAGCGAUGUCAAUUUUUUUGUUCUUGUUUUACAGCAACUUGUCUUGUGUUGAUAUCUACUUUUUUAUGUGGAAUUUCAGUGAAGGAAAAGAAUUAAACAAGUUAAUACCCAAUGAUCUAUUUUAUCACAUGCAAGGAGAGGAUAAAUGCUUGGACUUCCUGUAGUGCAGCCUGUAGAAGAAGCCCGGUUAAAGCUCCUCAUUGCUCAUAAAGAAAUCAAAUCUGAUCUCAGAUAGGAAAUUGUUGGAAAAGUG